AUACAGAGGUCUCAAGCGUUGUUCGGAAUCACUGGGCGUAAAGGGUGCGUAGGUGGCGAGGUAAGUCAGAUGUGAAAGCCCGGGGCUCAACCUCGGAAUUGCAUCCGAUACUGCCCUGCUUGAGUACUGAAGGGGUGACUAGAAUUCUCGGUGUAGCAGUGAAAUGCGUAGAUAUCGAGAGGAAUACCAAAGGCGUAGGCAGGUCACUGGGCAGUUACUGACACUGAGGCACGAAGGCCAGGGGAGC
RNAcentral lists this ribosomal RNA (247 nucleotides) under uncultured bacterium. RNAcentral describes it as "partial 16S ribosomal RNA". It matches the Rfam family "Bacterial small subunit ribosomal RNA", at positions 523 to 769 of the family's 1533-position model. The record is from RNAcentral.